GCGGGGGUAACUCAAUUGGUAGAGUGCUAGCCUUCCAAGCUGGAAGUUGCGGGUUCGAGUCCCGUCCCCCGCUCCA
RNAcentral lists this transfer RNA (76 nucleotides) under Dehalococcoidia bacterium. Its description in RNAcentral is "tRNA-Gly". It matches the Rfam family "tRNA". From Rfam's summary of the family: Transfer RNA (tRNA) molecules are approximately 80 nucleotides in length. Their secondary structure includes four short double-helical elements and three loops (D, anti-codon, and T loops). The record is from RNAcentral. Lineage: Bacteria; Bacillati; Chloroflexota; Dehalococcoidia. RNAcentral also lists the same sequence under 1 other name.